RNAcentral lists this ribosomal RNA (315 nucleotides) under uncultured eukaryote. RNAcentral's name for it is "partial 18S ribosomal RNA". It matches the Rfam family "Eukaryotic small subunit ribosomal RNA", at positions 1470 to 1796 of the family's 1831-position model. The record is from RNAcentral.
CCCUUAGAUGUUCUGGGCUGCACGCGCGCUACACUGAAGCGUUCAACGAGUAUUCACCUUGCCCGGGAGGGUUGGGUAAUCUUUUUAAAACGCUUCGUGAUGGGGAUAGAUUAUUGCAAUUAUUAAUCUUCAACGAGGAAUUCCUAGUAAGCGCGAGUCAUCAGCUCGUGCUGAUUACGUCCCUGCCCUUUGUACACACCGCCCGUCGCACCUACCGAUUGAAUGGUCCGGUGAAGCCUCCGGAUUGGCGCGCACCUCGGUGCCGCCGAGAAGUUGGCUAAACCUUACCAUUUAGAGGAAGGUGAAGUCGUAACA